RNAcentral lists this ribosomal RNA (521 nucleotides) under uncultured bacterium. RNAcentral describes it as "partial 16S ribosomal RNA". It matches the Rfam family "Bacterial small subunit ribosomal RNA", at positions 29 to 523 of the family's 1533-position model. The record is from RNAcentral.
AACGAACGCUGGCGGCGUGCUUAACACAUGCAAGUCGUACGAGAAAUCCUGAGCAAUCGGGAGAGUAAAGUGGCGCACGGGUGAGUAACGCGUGGGUAACCUGCCCUUGAGUUGGGGAUAACUCCGCGAAAGCGGGGCUAAUACCAAAUAAUAUGCCGAUUUCUAUGGGAGUUGGCAUCAAAGAUGGUCUCUGCAUGCAAACUAUCGCUCAAGGAUGAGCCCGCGUACCAUUAGCUAGUUGGCAGGGUAAAGGCCUACCAAGGCAACGAUGGUUAGCUGGUCUGAGAGGAUGGCCAGCCACACUGGAACUGAGACACGGUCCAGACUCCUACGGGAGGCAGCAGUGGGGAAUCUUGCGCAAUGGGGGAAACCCUGACGCAGCGACGCCGCGUGGGUGAUGAAGGCCUUCGGGUCGUAAAGCCCUGUCAGGUGGGAAGAAACCUAUCGAUGUUAAUACCAUCGAUACUUGACGGUACCACCGGAGGAAGCACCGGCUAACUCCGUGCCAGCCGCCGCCGUAA